Molecule: long non-coding RNA, 2625 nt
Organism: Eriocheir sinensis (Chinese mitten crab)
Lineage: Eukaryota; Metazoa; Arthropoda; Malacostraca; Decapoda; Varunidae
Exons: 5
Source: RefSeq, a predicted model, not a curated record
GAUAAAGAGGGAGAAAAAUAUUAGAUCCUUCAGCAUCCUUCAACAUCACAUCCUUAGCUUAUGCAUCCUUUUGACAAGCACUAAGAUAUCCUACACUUCCUUCUUUUCCUUCUACACCUUAUGUUUUAUUUCGCGAAGUCCUGUAGGAUUCUAGAGUCUUGUAGUCCUGCCCCGGUAAAGGUUCUAAUUCCAUCUCUCCACCUGGUUCUCUGUCUGGUGUUAGUGUGCUCCAUCCUGCCCCGGUAAAGGUUCCAAUGCUAUAUAAAAGGUUCUAAUGCCAUCUAACAGGUUCUAAAGCCAUUUAAAAGGUUCUAAUACCAUCUAACAGGUUCUAAUACCAUAUAACAGGUUCUAAUGCCAUCUAACAGGUUCUAAUGCCAUCUAACAGGUUCUAAUGCCAUCUUACAGGUUCUAAUACCAUAUAACAGGUUCUAAUGCCAUCUAACAGGUUUUAAUGCCAUCUAACAGGUUUUAAUGCCAUCUAACAGGUUUUAAUGCCAUCUAACAGGUUCUAAUGCCAUCUAACAGGUUUUAAUGCCAUCUAACAGGUUUUAAUGCCAUCUAACAGGUUCUAAUGCCAUCUAACAGGUUUUAAUGCCAUCUAACAGGUUCUAAUGCCAUCUAACAGGUUUUAAUGCCAUCUAACAGGUUCUAAUGCCAUCUAACAGGUUCUAAUACCAUAUAACAGGUUCUAAUGCCAUCUAACAGGUUCUAAUGCCAUCUAACAGGUUCUAAUACCAUAUAACAGGUUCUAAUGCCAUAUAACAGGUUCUAAUGCCAUCUCCACCUGGUUCUCUGUCUGGUGUUAGUGUGCUCCAUCCUGCCCCGGUAAAGGUUCUAAUUCUAAGCUUGCAAAAACAUGUAUAGGUCAUUUUUCCUCCCAAUUUCUUCCUUUCUUCCUUCAAUUAUUCAUUCUCUUUUCCUUCAUUUAAUCGUACGUGUUCCUAUCUCUGUCUGUCUUUAAUCUUGGUCAUCUUCAUUCACUAUCUCUCUUUCUCUCUCUCUCUCUCUUAUCUCUCUCUCUAAAUUUCCAAACCACUUGACUCCACUAUCUCUCUCUCUCUCUCUCUCUCUCUCUCUCUCUCUCUCUCUCUCUCUCUCUCUCUCUCUCUCUCUCUCUGAUAAAGUCUUCAUGUAAUCAAAUGACCUCGCUCAUGUCUCCACGCGGGUCAACAAGUGUGAUAAUGCUCUCUCUCUCUCUCUCUCUCUCUCUCUCUCUCUCUCUCUCUCUCUCUCUCUCUCUCUCUCUCUCUCUCUCUCUCUCUCUCUCUCUCUCUCUCUCUCUCAAUGACUGCUUACUGCGCACUUCCUCUAUCCCAGGUGCCAUGAGAGAGAGAGAGAGAGAGAGAGAGAGAGAGGGAGAGAGAGGGAGAGGGAGGGAGAGAGAGAGAGAGAGAAAAGGGAGGGAGGGAGAAAGGGAGAUGAAGAUCCCUCUCCACACUUCCUCUCUCUCUCUCUCUCUCUCUCUCUCUCUCUCUCUCUCUCUCUCUCUCUCUCUCUCUCUCUCUCUCUCUCUCUGUCAUAAUUUCUCCCUAACACAAAAUAGGAUCAAAGACUCCUCCUCCUCCUCCUCCUCCUCCUCCUCCUCUGCAUUGGAAGGUCGGGAGGGAGGGAGAGAGGGCAGGAAGGGAGGAGGGGGAGGGGGGGAGGGGGGGGAGGGAGUCAAGUUGGCAACCAUAUUCAUGUCUUGAAAUUACUCUGUUAAGCUCUAAAUUGACAAGGAAGUCACUGAUAACCUCACGUGGUGUGUGUGUGUGUGUGUGUGUGUGUGUGUGUGUGUGUGUGUGUGGUGGGGGGGAAUGAGAGCGUGUCAGGCAGUGUAGAAGUAGUAGUAGUAGUAGUAGUAGUAGUAGUGGUAGUAGUAGUAGUUGUUGUGGUAGUAGUAGUAGUAGUGGUGGUGGUGGUGGUGGUGGUGGUUGUGGUCUCUAAGGUGACAUUCUAAGCCUCUGUAAAUUAAUUCUUCCUUACCAAACUUUCCUCUUCCUUAUAAACUUUGAAUUAGUGCUAAUACCGCCUUCCUCCUCCUCCUCCUCCUCCUCCUCCUCCUCCUCAACCAUCUUUUCUCUCAACCAUUUAUCUCUCUUCCUCAACCAUCUCUUUCUCUCUCUUUCUCAACCAUCCUCCGUAUCCUCCUCAACCACCUCUCUCUCUCUCCCUUUCUACCCAGUCGACCAGUCAACUAGUCAACCAGCCAGUCAGCCUUCACACAGUUCUCGACCAUCUGCCCACAUCCAUGAAUUUAGUUAACCUCGAUUUAAAACAUUUGCCCGUAUUUCCUCAACUCUAAAACCUCCCAAAUUUGUUUUUAAUAAUGUACUUGUUUUGACCUAUGUUCUUUAGCUUAGUAUAUGUCAGCUGUUCUACCUCUACGUCAAUCUCUGUAUCUUCUUCUAAAACGUUCAUUCUUAUUUCCAUUAUCUCAAAAUCUUCAUAAUUGGUUGCUAUAUUUAAUUAGUUUUGGCCUAUUUUUCUUUAGGUUAUUAUGCGUCAGCUGUUCUACCUCUACGUCAAUCUCUGUAUCUUCUUCUAAAACGUUCAUUCUUAUUUCCAUUAUCUCAAAAUCUUCAUAAUUGGUUGCUAUAUUUAAUUAGUUUUGGCUUAUUUUUCUUUAGGUUAUUAUACGUC